AGCAGUCCAAUUCAAUAAUAAUCUAGCCAGUAAUUAUUGAAAAAAAAUUUGGCAAAACUAAUCUUAUAGACAGUUGAUGAAUAACUAAAAAAUGCACAAUAUGCAAUUAGCCUAUACUCCACAUCAAGAUGCAGCUCCUAUCAUGUGAAAUCAAUAGGAUAUAUCAAAAAUUCAAAGCUUGUUCUAAUAUACACAAGGGUGAGAAAAGACUACCUUCCAAACUCCGACUGGCUCUAUUACAUCCGAUCCCACAAGAACUAAUGCCUUCUUCUCUUAGGAACAGAAGCAAACGACAAGGUUUGUCUCAACAAAUUGGCAUUUUCCUUCAUUGUAUUGU
Molecule: unclassified non-coding RNA, 337 nt
Filed under: Hevea brasiliensis (rubber tree)
Lineage: Eukaryota; Viridiplantae; Streptophyta; Magnoliopsida; Malpighiales; Euphorbiaceae
Source: RNAcentral